RNAcentral lists this long non-coding RNA (470 nucleotides) under Trifolium pratense (red clover). RNAcentral describes it as "long non-coding RNA (TPRA_LNC009568)". The record is from RNAcentral. Lineage: Eukaryota; Viridiplantae; Streptophyta; Magnoliopsida; Fabales; Fabaceae.
UGAAACAAAUAAAUAUACUUGUUUCUUAGUUAUAGUUAAUUUGCAUGUAGAAUUUUCCUCACUUGGCAAAGAAUGGUAUUUAAAAUGGUUAGAUAUUUUUCUUACACCAAGGAAAGGAUGAUCAUGUUAAGCAAUGUCAUACCGAUAGGGUAUGUCCAUUACGUCACACAAUACAUAGUGAGGAUUCUCCCACUUGAUAGGGAAUGAUAGUUGAAUUAAAAGUUUGAAAAUAUUUUAAGUGAAUAUUCAACUAUUUCUCUAUCACAUGAAGAUCGUGUUGAGUAACGUCACACCGAUAGGGUUAUGUCCGCCACUUAACAAAAUCUAGGGAUAGAUGGCAAUCCAAUUUUAUUUAUUUAUUUAUUUUUUAAAUAAAGUUUAAAUAAUUCAUUGAUUAAAAUUAGGAUAAUAUUGGAUUGCAAAAUUAAGAUAGUAGCUACAUGCGCUAUAAUAUAUUUAGUAAAAUUUCN